GCAAUUUGAACUUUCUUGAAGUCCUAAAUCUUUCCAAUAACCAUCUUGUGGGAGAAAUACCUCAAGGAAAACAGUUCGGUACUUUUUCCAAUGAUUCCUAUGAGGGAAACUCUGGGUUAUGUGGACUCCCACUGACAAUCAAAUGCAGCAAGGACCCUGAACAACAUUCUCCACCUUCAACUACCUUCAGGAAAGAAGGAGGAUUUGGAUUUGGUUGGAAAGCAGUGGCUAUAGGAUAUGGAUGUGGAAUGGUCUUUGGAGUGGGAAUGGGAUGUUGUGUAUUGUUAAUAGGAAAGCCUCAAUGGCUUGUGAGAAUGGUUGGAGGUAAACUCAAUAAAAAGGUGAAAAGGAAGACAAGAAUGAGAUCUAAUGAAAAUGGUAGCAGAAUGAAUUAGUUGAUAUAUGGCAUGACUGGAGAAUGUCUUGUUACAUACCUGCCACCUUUGAAAACAAAACUUAAGGGCAAGAACUUGAUCACACUGCAUUGCAUGGGAGAUCUGGUUCAAAGUUUUGCUGUAAUAUGAAUGUGUUGUACUUUUGCUUUUUUGUGUGUUCUUUUUCGUUUGUUGUGUAGAAGAGUGCGAUGUAUUGAGUUGCAGUUUUCAUUUAUUUAAUACGUAUAACUGUGGCAUUAAUUGGUUGUAUAAUAAUAGAUGUUGUAUAUUUUUAAAAAUGCUAUGUAUUGGCCAAUGCUAAAAUAUUUUGUAUCUGAAUUCACGGUUUUAGCUUCUAUUGUAGUCUAUUUAAUUAAUUUUCUAACUAUUUAACCAGCGUGACAUGGCUUUAGAAGCUGAGGUCCAAGGGGCGUAAGUAUAAGAGCACAAACAAUGCAUACUAAAGGAAGGCUAUGGGUAUAGCCUAGGCCUCAUGGUCCGUAGGAUAUCACAGAUUCAUUUUUUAUUAAGUAAUUUUUCCCAAAUUAGAAUAAUUUGAAAUAAAAGUAGCAUUACUAAAAUCAGUUAUAAUUAAAUCUAAACUUUUUCUUUUUCAAUUACUAUUACGAUAAAUUGGCAGUGGUACGUGCUGUAAAUAUUACAUCUACUUAUAAUGUCAGCACCCAAAAAUUAUUUUUAUAAUGUAAAAUUUACAUUGUCAUUAAUUUGCUUUAUUAAUUUUUAUUAUAACUAUUUAAAAUUUAUAUUAUUAUCAUAAAAUCCGUAUCGAUAAUUUUUAAUUAAGCACAAAUUUUUUUAAUUUUAGUAAAUAUUAAAAAAUAUAUAAUAUAAUGUUAGUUUUUUUCAAAAAAAAAAACAACAUUAUCAUUAAAUAAAUCAGUGUGCGCGCUGUACAAUAAUUCACUUUUAUCAUUGAAAAUAAAAAUAAAAACUGUUAUUCAAAAUAAAAUAUGCAUUAGUGACUAUUAUAAUAAUUAUCUUAAUGAUUAAAUAUAUUUUUAUCUUUAAUAAAUAAUUUUUUUUCUCCCUAAUAAAUAUUUGUUUUUUUACUAUCUUAUUAAAUAAUAAUUUUGUUUUUUGUCCUAGAUAUUUUGUUGUAAUCCCUAAUGAAUUAACAAAUUUUUGUUUACUUCCUUUUAAAUUAACGAAUUUUUCUUUGUCCGACUAAUAAUAAAUAAAAAAUUAUCAAAAAAUAAGCACACAAUUUAUGCCAUGAAAUAAUUAUAUCAUGCAUGAAAUAAUUAUUAAUCAUGCAUGAAAUAUUAUCAAAUAAUAAAUUAUAUCAUGCAUGAAAUAAUUAUUAAUCUAUAUCAUUUGGGUGAAAAAUUUCCCAAGUAGUCCAAUACAAAUAAUAAAUAAACUAAACCAACACUUUCCUAAAUUGAAAUAAGAUCAAUAUCCAAUCCAAACAAUAAUCAAACUAAAGUACCUAUUUCUGACGUAGAAAAGGAGAUUUCAAAUAAUUAUAAAAUCCUAAAUUUGGCAAUAAAAAUUAAACUAAAAUAAAAUAAAAUUUCAAAUUUGGCAAUAACACAUUAUCUAAUAAUGACCUCCAAACUAUUAACUCAAUCACCGGUGGCUUCUCUUCCUCAAUUUGCAAUGCAAGUGCAAUUUCUGGGCCACACCAGCUUGCUGCAAACUACUUGGGAGGCACACAAAAGGCUAAGAAUGCUGUUUUCUGAACCUUUAUCAAUUGAUGGUCUGAACAAAUAUUUUCCAUUUCAUAAAUACUCGGGCAAUGGAUACAGUAGAUCAAUGGCUAGGAAGGAAAGUCCUGGUUCUUGAAGAGGCUUCUAAUUUGAGUUCCAAUAAGUUUUCAGACAAUAAAAUUUUCCAUAUUUAGUUAUGCAUCUUAUUUGAUAAUAAUCAGUAUUUGAAAUAUUAAAUAUAACAGUUUACUCUAAAAGUGAUUGAACACAUGAUCAUGAGUUUAGAGCCUUCUUUGGAAGAACAAGAAAAGUUUGGUCAAAGUUUAAGAUUAUUUCUUCCACAUUUGCUUCAUUGCCUUUUAAACUUUCAGAGACAUAAUUUUCAUCGCAGUAUCAAGGUAACAAAGCAAUACACGACUAACCACACAUGACACACCACUAAACAGGCUGGGUUCACUGAUUUAAUUAUGAGGAUCACUGAAUUCUCCUUUCCUCGGAUACAUAUGUUAUGCAUGUAUGCAUGCUCCGGGAUAUUAUGCACUACACGUUGGAUUCUAUAAUGUUUUAAAGAGAAAACUGCCAAGACAUUAAACAAGAUUUCUUAGAACCCUUAGAAUUAGAUAUGAAAAAUAGAAGAGAAGACGGAGAAGAAGAUACAUAAUUGAAGGACAAUAUAUUAACUCUGCUGGUUGCAGGCCAUGAUACCACAAUUAUUCUCAUACAUAGCUCAUCAAAUUUCUUGAUGAAAAUCCAACUGUUCUGGAACAAUUGAGAGUAAAUAUUAAGAACCUAUAAUGUUUAUCCUUUACAUGGUUGAAGAUUGUAAAAACAAGCUUCAUGAAUGCUGAUGUUUUUGUAGGAGGUGCACAAACAAAUUGUUGCAAACAGAAGGAGUCGAAAAAUAUUACAGUGUUUGAAGUUAAUAGCAUUUCCCUUUAUCUGCGGCGACGCUUGUUCCUAACUGAAUAUUUGGGUGCUUUGGUUUGUCUCUGAAACGAGCUCUAUGUUUGUUUCUGAGCAACGGCUUUCCUUUGUCUCUGAGCUUUUAGGUUCGAAGCAUAUUUCACUUUCAGCCUUACCCUCGAGGCGUAUUUUUGCAGCGUAGUUGAGGUCACGAGUGCAUUCGAAUUUUAAGAAUAGGGUUCAUGACUUCAUGUAUGUGCACUGGACCAUCCUGUACACUAGGGAUUGCUAGUGGGAAAUGUAUUAGCAUGGAUAUUCUUUUACUUGUUUUGGAACUGAUAUAACAGGCUUUGGUUCUUGAACGUGUAAUGUUCAUAAACAUCUUAAGUUAAGGUCUGAUUUGAGCAUUUGAGGUUGUAACAUGUAUGCUUUAAUGGAACAAGAUGUAAAAAAGUCGAAUUGAACCUUGGUGGUAAAAUCAAAAUCACACCUCCUCCACCUAGAGGUACAUCACUUAGCAAUACAACACUUAGCGUGCUAGCACUUCAUGUCUAGCAAGAGGAGUGAUAGCUUUGUAACUAAUAACAUUUUUUAGUUAAUUACUAGAUAUAUUCCUGACAAUAUUAAUGGCAUCAACGUCCAAUGAUGGACUAUUGUUGAACAAUGGGUUUUCUCCCGCAAGGCUGCAACUUAUAAUUAAAUACUCAUUUUAAACUAUUUUUCUGAGAAUUUUAAGAUUGUUACGAGCUUGUCUGAGUUUAGGGAUCAAUGGCUGUUAUGGAGUUCAAUAAUUUUAGGGCUCAUCAACCUCAUCUUACUUGAAAAUAAAUUACGUAAUUAAACGAGCCACCCUAAGAAUUUAAAUUAUCUGGAGGGCUAAAAUAAGGAACAUUGUCAAUACUGGGUGAAGAUAAUACACCCAUUCUGAUCGACUCUUCUCAUCAACCCAACGGAGACUGAGUUUGCAGUCAGUGUCAAGAAAACCUCAUUGCUGAUUUGCAGUAUUUUAUAAUAAAUCACAAUUAGAGUAUCACAGUUGUAGACUUGCAGUCAACAUUAAAAACAAAUAUAUAAAGGUUGUCUAUCUUAACAUUAACAUAUCUUCUUAAUUAUGUUUGCGUUUGCUUACUUUUUGUUUUGGUUUUUAAUUUCAACUUGGUUUUCUCGUUUAAGGUGUUCUAAUUUGCAUACUUAGUUAAGAAAAGGCGAUGUAAUUGAAGGAGUAUAGUAAUUUUCUAUUUUUUUCCGUAGGAUAUCGCAUUUGUUUUUUUCAAAGUUCGAGUAAUUCAACUAUAUAAAAUAUUUUUAUAACACAUCAUGAACAUCUAAUCUUAUUGGAAACGAUAUUAAUGAAUGAAAAGAUAAACAUUUAUUUUAAACCUUAUACAUCAUUCAAAUAAUUAUUUCAUGUAUCAUGUUUAAAAGUUCCUAAUUUUUAAUUAUAGUCUCUUCUUCUAAAAUAUAAAGACAUGUACACCAAUUAACAAAGUUUAUGUUGUUUACAUCUUUCUUUUAAAAAAAUGUUGUUUACGACUUAUUUUUCACGUUAAUUAUUAUCAUACUCUCUUUUUUCGAAACAAAAUUGAUAAUCAUAUUUUCUUAUAAAAUUUAAUUAUAACAUUUAAUUUUAUUCUCGUGUUCAACAACCACGUUAGUUACACUUACAACUCAUCCACAAUAUCCUAACAAUGUCCAACUCCUAAAUUGUGACAAAUAUAAGAUUUCUAAUUUAUAAAUAUUUUAAUUUGUAAAUUAAAAUUUUGACAAAUUUUAAUUUAAAAAUAUUUUUUAAAACAAUAUAAUUUUGAAAAAAUAUGUUAAUUAAUUUUAUGGAUGAAAAAAAGAGGAUAUCCCGUGAAGUUGAAGACAAUACAAUUGAAAUGGCAAUACUGAAUAGUGAGCACAAUCUGGGUAGCGUUAUGAUAGGGUUAGAAAUGAAAUGAAAUGACAGCACUGAGGAUGACCUAGCUGUAGCGUUAUGAAAGGGUUUAGAAAAUGGAUGUUUGCGUGAAGCAUGGAAGGAAGCACAUCAUAAAAAUCAAAAUAAAAUAAAACUGCAACACUCCAUUGUUUUCAAAAGUCAUAUUUCAUUUACAUGAGAGUUAAAGAAAUUCAUCAAAUCUCUACCAUUCUUUUAUUAUAUAAAAUUUAAAUUAUUGUCAUAUUUUUACUUAAUAUUUAAUUCCAUCCACUCCACUACUUGCUAAAACUGACCAUAUCCUCAUCCGAUUCACUCAAGGUUUACAAAAUUGGCUCCAUCAUGUUAUUUCAUUUCUAGUUGGUAUUUUAAAGGGGAAAAAUGUUAAAUAAAGAUAUGAACUACAAAAAUCAAAUAAAUCAUGUUUUCCUGAAAAGAGACUUCCAGGUCAAUUAACAAAAUGGCGUGAUGAGAGGAUUGGAAAAUAAAUCAUAUCUAAUUGGAAACGAUAUUAAUGGAUCAAAAGAUAAACAUUUCUUUUUAAACUUUAUACAUCAUUCACAUACUUAUUUCAUCUAUCAUGUCUACCAUUUUCUAAUUUUAAUUUAUAUUUCCUUCUUCGUAAAUAUAAAGACAUGUACACCAAUUAACAAACUUCAAAUUGUUUACAACUUCCUUUAAAAAAAUGUUGAUUACAACUUAUUUUCCACAUUAAUCAAUUAUUGCCUUAAUCUUUUUUUUCAAACAUAACUUAUAAUCAAUUUUUCAUAUAAAAAUUAAUUCUAACAUUUAAUUUUAUUCUGAAGGUUAAUUAAACAACCACAUUAAAAACACUUACAACUCAUGCGCCAUAUCGUAACAAUGUCCAACUCCUAAAUUGUGACAAAUAUAAGUUUUCUAACUUAUAAAUAUUUUAAUAUGUAAAUUAAAAUUUUGAUAAAUAUUAAUUUAAAAAUAAUUUGUUUAAAUAAUAUAAUUUUGAAAAGGAUGUUAAUUUUAUACAUAUGCUUUCAACAAAUAUUUUAUAAUUACGUAUUCUUUUUAAUUUAAUAUAAUAUUUAUUUUUAAAUAUUUCUAACAUCUUGAAAUUAUAUCAUAUAGAAUUAUUAAUUUACAAAUAAUUCUAUAAAUGAUAUAAUUUUGACAAAUGCAUUUUUUUAUGUAUAAUUUCAAAAAAUAUUUUAUAAUUUAAAUUUUUAUAGUUUAAGGUAAUAUUUAUAUUUUAAAUAUUUUUCUCCGAAUUAUAUCUAUCAUAAACAAUUAUUUCUAGCGUUAUUUCAAAAUAAAUUUUGGGGAGCAAUUGCAUAAAGUAAGGCAAAUGUUUUAGCUUGACAAUUGAAAAAAAAUGCAUAAAAAAAGGAUAUCCAUUUUUGAAAUAAAAUAAAUUUAUUUAAUUAAAUUAUAAUAUAUUUUAUUUUUGAAAGUGAAGGAAACACGUCAUAAAAAACAAAACAAAAUAAAGCUACAAACCUCCAUUGUUUUUAAAACUCAUAAAUCCAUAUACCUGAAUAGGGUUAAACAAAUUCUUCAAAAUCUCUAUCAUUCUUUUAUAGUAUCAAAUUUAAAUUAUUUUCCUAUUUUUAAGAUGACAAAUUGUUUCUGUAAAAAAGUUAAUAAAUUAUUAAGAAUAAAUUCAAAUAUAUAUAUAUAUAUAUAUAUAUAAUUAUAACCAAAAACUUAAAAUAUUUGUUAUUAACAAAUCAUAUGAAAGAAAAUUAAUUCAAUGAGCUAGUUCACACGCUAGUUCUGACAAGCACACCCUAUCUCUUCCUUAAAAAAAAAUUUUGUUUAAAUCGUUUAGAUUUAAAUAGGUACGUUUUUUAAUUUUGGUUUUUGCCCCUUUUAAAUUAUUGUUAACUUUUUGCUCCCAAAUAAAUAAAUUUUGUAUUUUAUUUUUUGACUUUGGAUUUAUUUAGAUAGGGCUUUAGAAAAUGGAAUAAAAUUAUUUUGAUAGUUAUUUAGGAAAAGAACAAAAGAAAAAUUUAUUACAAACCAAAAAGUUAACAAAAAUUUAUUAGGAAUAAAAAAAAAACAAAAUUUGAUGAUUUAUCAACAACUAAAUACAUAUUUAAAUAGUUUAUAACACAAAAGAACAUGAAAAAUCAACCAUUAUGCAAUUCUCUUUGAAUAAGAGUUAUAAUUUCCAUCUAGUACUUCUUUACUUGUGAAUAUUAAAAUUAUUAGAUGUAACAUUUUUAAAUUAAAUUUCAGAGAACAACUCAGUCCAUACACUAAGAUAUAUAGUGUUUUACCUUAACAGUUGAAAAAAUUCAUUAAGAAUUAACUAAGGAUUUGCCGUGAAGGUUUCAAUACAAUACAUGCAUGUGUAAUGUUAUUUCAUUUCUAGUUGGUAUUUUAAAGGGAAAACAUGGUUAAACAAAGAUAUGAAGUAGAAAAAUAAAAUAAAUCAUGUUUGCAGAAAAAAUGAGUUCCAAGUCAAGUCAAUUUAAAUUGCAAUUGCUGGGACAACUUUGAUAGCGUGUAAAAAGAUCAUAAGAUUUAUGGUCAAUUUGCGUGAGGUUUGGGCUGUUGAAGUCUUGAAGCUUAAUUUAGCCACAAAUUUUGCAUAUCAUCUUUUUAAUUUGACUAUAAAUAUUAAUGUUUGGUUGCUCAGUAUUAAUUUCAUGUAUAUUUUCCUUCCCUUAUAGUAAAGAGUAUUUGAGUAGAAAAUGGAAUCAUGGAUGUGGUGUUUCCUUCUCUGUUCCCAUUUGCUCAUCCUUUAUUUUUCACCCUCUCAUUCCUUAUGCCACCCCAUGACACCUCUGCCUUGCUCCACUUCAAAAACUCCUUCACUAUUUAUGAAGAUCCUUAUUAUUCUUAUUUUUGUGAUCAUGGUUAUUCAAAGACGACAACAUGGGAAAAUGGGAGAGAUUGUUGCUCUUGGGCUGGAGUCACCUGCCACCCCAUCUCAGGUCACGUCACUCAGCUCGACCUCAGCUGCAAUGGCCUUUACGGCAAUAUCCAUCCAAACAGUACGCUUUUCCAUCUUUCUCAUCUUCACUCACUCAACCUUGCUUUCAAUGAUUUUGAUGAAUCUAAUUUGUCAUCUCUCUUUGGUGGGUUUGAGAGCCUCACGCAUCUCAACUUGUCUUCUUCUGACUUUGAAGGGGAUAUUCCUUCCCAAAUCUCUCACCUUUCCAAAUUAGUCUCGCUUGAUCUCUCAUAUAAUAUAUUAAAGUGGAAGGAAGACACUUGGAAGAGAUUGCUCCAAAAUGCAACAGUUUUAAGGGUGAUUGUUUUGGAUGGAAAUGAUAUGUCUUCCAUUUCAAUCAGGACACUCGAUAUGUCUUCCUCUUUGGUUACUCUUAGUCUAAGACAGACUGGGCUAAGAGGAAACUUGACAGAUGGCAUUCUCUGUUUACCAAAUCUUCAACACUUGGAUCUUUCACUUAAUUGGGACCUUAAAGGUCAGCUUCCAGAAGUGAGUUGUAGAACAACUUCUCUUGAUUUCUUACAUCUUUCAUGUUGUGAUUUCCAAGGGUCAAUCCCUCCUUCUUUCUCCAACCUCAUACAUCUCACUUCCCUAUAUCUCUCACUUAACAACCUCAACGGUUCAAUCCCUCCCUUUUUCUCUAACUUUACACAUCUUACUUCCUUAGAUCUCUCAGAAAACAACCUCAACGGUUCAAUCCCUCCCUCUUUCUCCAACCUCAUACAUCUCACUUUCCUGGACCUCUCACAUAACAACCUCAACGGUUCAAUCCCUCCCUCUUUCUCCAACCUCAUACAUCUCACUUCCCUGGACCUUUCAGGUAACAACCUCAACGGUUCAAUCCCUCCCUUUUUCUCUAACUUCACACAUCUUACUUCCUUGGAUCUCUCAGAAAACAACCUCAACGGUUCAAUCCCUCCCUCUUUCUCCAACCUCAUACAUCUCACUUCCCUGGCCCUUUCACGUAACAACCUCAGUGGUCAAAUCCCAGAUGUCUUUCCUCAGUCAAACAGCUUUCACGAAUUGGAUUUGAGCGAUAACAAAAUAGAGGGUGAGCUGCCUUCAACACUUUCAAAUCUUCAACAUCUCAUUCACUUGGAUCUUUCAUAUAAUAAAUUGGAGGGCCCUCUGCCUAACAAUAUAACAGGGUUUUCAAACCUAACAUUCUUAUGGUUAUAUGAAAACUUACUGAAUGGGACAAUUCCUUCUUGGUGUUUAUCUUUGCCAUCUUUGGUGGGUUUAGAUCUAUCAGGAAACCAAUUCUCAGGGCAUAUUAGUGCAAUCUCAUCAUAUUCCUUGGAGAGAUUGAUUUUAUCCCACAACAAGUUACAAGGCAAUAUUCCAGAAUCAAUUUUUAGCCUUCUAAACCUUACUGACUUAGAUCUAUCAUCAAACAAUUUAAGUGGAUCUGUCAAAUUUCAUCAUUUCUCCAAGCUUCAAAAUUUGAAAGAACUUCAACUUUCACAGAAUGAUCAGUUAUCACUAAAUUUCAAAUCAAAUGUCAGUUAUAGUUUCUCCAAUUUAUUGAGUUUGGACUUAUCUUCUAUGGGUUUAACUGAAUUUCCAAAAUUAUCGGGAAAAGUCCCAAUCUUGGAAUCACUCUAUUUGUCCAAUAACAAACUUAAAGGUAGAGUGCCAAAUUGGUUCCAUGAAAUAUCGUUAUAUGAAUUGGACCUCUCUCAUAACCUAUUGACACAAUCAUUGGACCAAUUCUCGUGGAACCAACAACUCGGUUACCUUGAUCUUAGUUUUAACUCAAUCACUGGUGACUUCUCUUCCUCAAUUUGCAAUGCAAGUGCAAUUGAGAUUCUCAACUUGUCUCACAACAAGUUGACAGGAACCAUUCCACAAUGCCUUGCUAACUCAUCAUCCCUUCAAGUUUUGGAUCUACAACUGAACAAGCUUCAUGGCACUUUGCCAAGUACCUUUGCAAAGGACUGUUGGCUCAGAACUCUGGAUCUCAAUGGCAACCAAUUAUUAGAAGGUUUUUUGCCAGAAUCUUUGUCCAAUUGCAUUAAUCUGGAGGUUUUAGAUCUUGGAAACAAUCAAAUAAAGGAUGUGUUUCCCCAUUGGCUUCAAAUUCUACCAGAAUUGAAAGUAUUGGUUUUGCGAGCCAACAAGUUGUACGGUCCCAUUGCCGGUUUAAAGACCAAACACGGAUUCCCCAGUUUAGUCAUUUUUGAUGUCUCUUCCAACAACUUCAGCGGCCCAAUACCAAAAGCCUACAUUAAAACAUUUGAAGCGAUGAAGAACGUUGCUCUACAUGCCUAUAGCCAAUACAUGGAAGUUUCUGUAAAUGCUUCUUCUGGACCCAACUACACUGAUUCUGUGACUAUAACAACAAAAGCAAUUACUAUGACAAUGGACAGAAUUCGAAAUGACUUUGUAAGCAUUGAUUUAUCCCAAAACAGAUUUGAAGGAGAGAUUCCAAGUGUCAUUGGGGAACUUCAUUCACUCAGAGGGCUAAACCUUUCCCAUAACAGACUUAUUGGUCCUAUUCCCCAAUCCGUGGGAAAUUUGAGAAACUUAGAAUCGUUGGAUCUCUCCUCAAAUAUGCUUACUGGUGGGAUACCUACAGAAUUAAUCAAUUUGAACUUUCUUGAAGUCCUAAAUCUUUCCAAUAACAAUCUUGUGGGAGAAAUACCUCAAGGAAAACAGUUCGGUACUUUUUCCAAUGAUUCCUAUGAGGGAAACUCAGGGUUAUGUGGACUCCCACUGACAAUCAAAUGCAGCAAGGACCCUGAACAACAUUCUCCACCUUCAACUACCUUCAGGAGAGAAGGAGGAUUUGGAUUUGGUUGGAAACCAGUGGCUAUAGGAUAUGGAUGUGGAAUGGUCUUUGGAGUUGGAAUGGGAUGUUGUGUACUGUUAAUGGGAAAGCCUCAAUGGCUUGUGAGAAUGGUUGGAGGUCAACUAAAUAAAAAGGUGAAAAGGAAGACAAGGAUGAAAUCUAAUGAAAAUGGUAGCAUAAUGAAUUAGAUGAUAUGUGGCAUGACUGUAGAAUGUCUUCUUGCACACCUUCCUGUUGAAAUUCAAUUCUGCCUUGUUGAAAAUAAAACAUAAGGGCCAAAACCUUAUCACACUGCAUUGCAUAUGCAUGGGAGAUCUGUUUCAAAGUUUAGUUGUAAUUGUAAUAUGAUGUGUUGUACUUUUUUUUUUCUCUGUUGGAUAGAUGAGUGUGAUGUACUUUUUUCCCCUUCCUUUGCUACUGAAACUCGGGUCUAAAUCAUCAUAAGUUUGAUGUUCUUCAUUUUCCUUGAGCGGGCUAUUUUGUUUUAUUUAAUACAUAUAAUUGUAGUAUUGGUUAUAUAAUAAUAGUUGUUGUUGUAUACUCUUAAAAAUGUUCUGCAUUCGUCGUUGCUAGAAACAAAAUAUUUUGUGUUAACAGUAUGUAGUUAUAUUUCAUUCGAGGAGCUUAGUUCACGUACAGUAGUUUUCCUAUUUCGUUUCUAACUCCCUCAUGCACAUAUUGUCUUACAUGGCAAUUCUAUGACUGGAUGACCAUAUAAAAAAACUUGACACAGAUAUGGAAAGAUUUUCAAGAGCUGUCCUGAGGAGGUUCAUUGUCUUGAUGACUAGGAUGGGAUUGAGUUUGAAUCUGUUUUAUACUAGCCAGCAAUUUCUAGGCCACACCAACCUGCUGCAAAGUACUUGGGAGGCACACAAAAGACUAAGAAUGCUGUUUUCUGAACCUUUAUCAAUUGAUGGCCUGAAAAAAUAUUUUUCAUUUCAUAAAUACUCAGGCAAUGGAAACAUUAGAUAAAUGCCUAGGAAGGAAAGUGUUAGAAUUAAUGUCUCAUGUGAGAGGUAUAUGACUUAGUAGGGACUAAUAAAUAAAUAAUUAACGAUUAAAGGCUAAAUUGUAAUUGGGCUUAAUAGGAGAAGUUUCUAGGUUAACUGCUACUUGAUGGGAGUAGUGGUUAUAAAAGGGGCUUAAUACCCACUAACGUGAAAUAAGGUCCCCUUCCUGACCAAAAAGUGCUCUUUUCUCACCCAUAGCCAUCACGAACGGAGAGAGACAGAAAAGAAAGGUCAAAGGAAGUGAAAUCCUAUUUCUCUCAUCUUCAAAGAAAUCAAAGUGCACCAGAGAGAAGUUCCUAUGGAGAAAGGUACACAUCAUUAUCUAUUAUUCUUUAUUGAUUGUUUGUGAGAAUCAUAGGUUUCAAGAUCCUGUUGGUUUUCUAUAAUUGAUAGUCUAGGAAACCCCUUAAGAAUUUUUACAUGUGGUAUCAGAGCAUGUGUUAUGAAAUUUAUGAUUCUCCAAGAAUGAUUUAAUUUCUCCCAAUUAUGUAUGAACCCUAAUUAUGAAAUUUAGGGAUAAUUUAAUUUCUCUCAAUUAUGUAUGAACCCUAAUUAUGAAAUUUAGGGAUAAUUUAAUUUCUCCCAAUUAUGCAUAAAUCCUAAUUAUGAAAUUUAGGAAUUUUAUUUUCCGCUGCAUUUAUUGUUUUAUUGGUAAUAUUUUAUUAUUGUUGAAUACCAAUUUUUGGAGAAAGUAUAAAUAUUAUGUAAAUUUGGAGAAAACGAUUGUGGCUGCCACUAUCUAUUUAUAAUGGAAAAAGAAAGCGUGAGUUGCAAUUCCAAUUCAUGGAAAAGCUAUGGCUGCUACACGUAGGUUAGUAAGUGAAGGAAUUUUGAAAAGCUGCGCACUGCGCAGGUAUGUUUGUUCCUAUAAGAAAUUUUGGAAAUUGCUAUUUCCAACCUUAUGUUUGCUAUUUCCAAUCCCAUUUAAUUUUUUUUUUCUCCGAAAAAUUAUUGUUGAACGUGAUUAAAGGAUUGAAAAUUUAUGUUCUGUAAUUAAAUUAAUGUGAAUGUUUUGCAAUUAUUGAUAGUAGUAAAUAUAUGUAUAUGCUACAUAUUUGCUUGAACGUGUUGGAAUGUAAAAACACAAAUAAAUGCAAAUCUUAUUUUAUGGUCUGGAAUGAAAUUAAUAGAAUGACUAUGAAUUGUUAAUAGCAAUAAGUAUGUGCAGGCCAUACAUAUUUGGUUGGAAUUAAAUGUAUGUUGAAUUUGUUAGUCACCAAAGUGACCAAAUUUGUAAGAUUAUUUAAUUCCAAAUCAAUGAUUAUUUCAAUUAUACUUGGUUGGAAUUAAAUGUAUGUUGAAUUUGUUAGUCACCAAAGUGGCCAAAUUUGUAAGGUUAUUUAAUUCCAAAAUUAAUGAUUAUUUUGAUUACUCAUAGAAUAAUGGAUGCUAAAUUAUAUGGUUAUUGGUUUAUGGGUAAUUGAAAUUCAUUGUUAUAAGGCAUUUAUGGAUCGCUCAAAGGUUGAUUAGUUGUUCUUAUAAUUAAUGAAUAUAAUUGUAGACGAUUUGUGUGUAUCAUUAGUUUUAUUUAUAUGCCCAAAGGAAAUAGAUACUACUAAUUGGUGCAUAUUUAAUUGCCAAAUAAUGUUAAAAUUUUAUUAGUAUCAUUAUGUUUGUAUGUUGUGUGUUGAUGUAUCACCCAAAGGAGAACAUCAAUAUACAUUGACUGUUAUCUGAAUGAAUCAUAUGUGAUUGAGAGAUGGAAAUACCAUUGUUUCCACGUUUGAUCUUUAUUCCUAAGAUCACAUCCGCCUCCCCCAUAUCUUUCAUAUCAAACUUAGAAGACAAAAAUGCCUUAGUUUCAUCAACUUGAUCUUGGUCGGUACCAAAGAUCAACAUGUCGUCUACAUACAGACAAAUGAUAACUCCUUUGCCAUGAGUAUCAAACUUGCUGUAUAGACAUUUAUCUGCUUGGUUUAUAACAAAACCACUAGACAACACAACCUCAUCAAAUUUUUGAUGCCAUUGCUUAGGCGCUUGUUUCAAGCCAUAAAGAGAUUUCAUCAGUUUACACACCUUAUUUUCAUUUCCUGGCAUAACAAACCCUUCAGGUUGUUUCAUGUAUAUCUCUUCAUCCAAUUCACCAUUUAAGAAUGCAGUUUUCACAUCCAUUUGGUGAAUCAUCAGAUUGUGGAUAGCAGCAAGUGCUAACAACAGUCUAAUAGUGGAUAUCCUAGCUACAGGAGCAUAUGUAUCGAAAAAAUCAAUACCCUUCUUUUGCCUAAAGCCUUGGAUAACCAAUCUGGCUUUGUACUUGUCAACAGUACCAUCCACUUUCAUCUUUCUCCUAAAGAUCAUCUUACAUCCUAAUGGCUUACAUCCAGGAGGUAAGUCAACCAAUUUCCAUGUAUUAUUUUGCAUGAUGGAAUCCAUCUCACUUUGGAUUACUUCUUUCCAGAAUACAGCAUCCCUUGAAGCCAUUGCUUCACUAAAAGUCUUUGGGUCUUCCUCAACAUUAAGGCAAUAUUGAUAUUGAAAUUCAAUAUCAUUCCUUGACCCUUCAACCAAAUAGAGUUGAAAGUCAUCACCAAAUGACUUAGCUUUUCUUACUCUCGUACUCUUUCUAGUUUCAGUACUAGUUAAAGGUAUAUCCUCAAUAUUAACUGAGACUUUCGACAUGGAAUUCAUGUCCUUUGGCCUAGGUAUAGAUGUAAACCUUUGUUCAUGGGAAAAUGGGACAGAUUGUUGCUCUUGGGCUGGAGUCACCUGCCACCCCAUCUCAGGUCACGUCACUCAGCUCAACCUCAGCUGCAAUGGCCUUUACGGCAAUAUCCAUCCAAACAGUACGCUUUUUCAUCUUUCUCAUCUUCACUCACUCAACCUUGCUUUCAAUGAUUUUGAUGAAUCUCAUUUGUCAUCUCUCUUUGGUGGGUUUGUGAGCCUCACUCAUCUCAACUUGUCUAAUUCGUACUUUGAAGGGGAUAUUCCUUCCCAAAUCUCUCACCUUUCCAAAUUAGUCUCACUUGAUCUCUCAGAUAACAACCUCAACGGUUCAAUCCCAUCCUCACUCUUAACCCUCACACAUCUUACUUUCUUGGAUCUCUCAUAUAACCAACUCAGUGGUCAAAUCCCAGAUGUCUUUCCUCAGUCAAACAGCUUUCACGAAUUGCAUUUGAAUGAUAACAAAAUAGAGGGUGAGCUGCCAUCAACACUUUCAAAUCUUCAACAUCUCAUUCUCUUGGAUCUUUCAGAUAAUAAAUUGGAGGGCCCUCUGCCUAACAAUAUAACAGGGUUUUCAAACCUAACAUCGUUAAGGUUAAAUGGAAACUUACUGAAUGGGACAAUUCCUUCUUGGUGUUUAUCUUUGCCAUCUUUGAAGCAGUUAGAUCUAUCAGGAAACCAACUCUCUGGGCAUAUUAGUGCAAUCUCAUCAUAUUCCUUGGAGACAUUGUCUUUAUCCCACAACAAGUUACAAGGCAAUAUUCCAGAAUCAAUUUUUAGCCUUCUAAACCUUUAUUACUUAGGUCUAUCAUCAAACAAUCUAAGUGGAUCUGUCAAAUUUCAUCGUUUCUCCAAGCUUCAAUAUUUGGAAGAACUUCACCUUUCAUGGAAUGAUCAGUUAUCACUAAAUUUCGAAUCCAAUGUCAAUUAUAAUUUCUCUAAUUUAAGGUUGUUGAACUUAUCUUCUAUGGUUUUAACUGAAUUUCCAAAAUUAUCGGGAAAAGUCCCAAUUUUAGAAUCACUCUAUUUGUCCAAUAACAAACUUAAAGGUAGAGUGCCACAUUGGUUGCAUGAAAUAUCGUUAUCUGAAUUGGACCUCUCUCAUAACCUAUUGACACAAUCAUUGCACCAAUUCUCGUGGAACCAACAACUCGGUUCCCUUGAUCUUAGUUUUAACUCAAUCACUGGUGACUUCUCUUCCUCAAUUUGCAAUGCAAGUGCAAUUGAGAUUCUCAACUUGUCUCACAACAAGUUGACAGGAACCAUUCCACAAUGCCUUGCAAACUCAUCAUCCCUUCUAGUUUUGGAUCUACAACUGAACAAGCUUCAUGGCACUUUGCCAAGUAUCUUUUCAAAGGACUGUCAGCUCAGAACUCUGGAUCUCAAUGGCAACCAAUUAUUAGAAGGUCUUUUGCCAGAAUCUAUAUCCAAUUGCAUUCAUCUGGAGGUUUUAGAUCUUGGAAACAAUCAAAUAAAGGAUGUGUUUCCCCAUUGGCUUCAAACUCUACCAGAAUUGAAAGUAUUGGUUUUGCGAGCCAACAAGUUGUACGGUCCCAUUGCCGGUUUAAAGAUCAAGGAUGGAUUCCCCAGUUUAGUCAUCUUUGAUGUCUCUUCCAACAACUUCAGCGGCCCAAUACCAAAAGCCUACAUACAAAAAUUUGAAGCGAUGAAGAACGUUGUUAUAGAUACCGAUCUGCAGUACAUGGAAAUUUCUUUUUCUUAUGGUGGAAACAAGUACAGUGAUUCUGUGACUAUAACAACAAAAGCAAUUACUAUGACAAUGGAUAGAAUUCGAAAUGACUUUGUAAGCAUUGAUUUAUCGCAAAACGGAUUUGAAGGAGAGAUUCCAAAUGCCAUUGGAGAGCUUCAUUCACUCAGAGGACUCAACCUUUCCCAUAACAGACUUAUUGGUCCUAUUCCCCAAUCCAUGGGAAAUUUGACAAACUUAGAAUCAUUGGAUCUCUCCUCAAAUAUGCUCACUGGUCGGAUACCUACAGAAUUAACCAAUUUGAACUUUCUUGAAGUGCUAAAUCUUUCCAAUAACCAUCUUGCGGGAGAAAUACCUCGAGGACAACAGUUCAAUACUUUUUCCAAUGAUUCCUACAAGGGAAACUUGGGGUUAUGUGGACUCCCAUUGACAACAGAAUGCAGCAAGGGCCCUGAACAACAUUCUCCACCUUCAACUACCUUGAGGAGAGAAGCAGGAUUUGGAUUUGGUUGGAAACCAGUGGCUAUAGGAUAUGGAUGUGGAGUGGUCUUUGGAGUGGGAAUGGG
Molecule: long non-coding RNA, 16533 nt
Filed under: Glycine max (soybean)
Lineage: Eukaryota; Viridiplantae; Streptophyta; Magnoliopsida; Fabales; Fabaceae
Description: long non-coding RNA (GMAX_LNC003738)
Source: RNAcentral